Molecule: ribosomal RNA, 465 nt
Filed under: Vreelandella stevensii
Lineage: Bacteria; Pseudomonadati; Pseudomonadota; Gammaproteobacteria; Oceanospirillales; Halomonadaceae
Description: partial 16S ribosomal RNA
Rfam family: Bacterial small subunit ribosomal RNA
Source: RNAcentral
CCUACGGGUGGCUGCAGUGGGGAAUAUUGGACAAUGGGCGAAAGCCUGAUCCAGCCAUGCCGCGUGUGUGAAGAAGGCCUUCGGGUUGUAAAGCACUUUCAGUGGGGAAGAAAGCCUUGGGGCUAAUACCCUCGAGGAAGGACAUCACCCACAGAAGAAGCACCGGCUAACUCCGUGCCAGCAGCCGCGGUAAUACGGAGGGUGCGAGCGUUAAUCGGAAUUACUGGGCGUAAAGCGCGCGUAGGCGGUCUGAUAAGCCGGUUGUGAAAGCCCCGGGCUCAACCUGGGAACGGCAUCCGGAACUGUCAGGCUAGAGUGCAGGAGAGGAAGGUAGAAUUCCCGGUGUAGCAGUGAAAUGCGUAGAGAUCGGGAGGAAUACCAGUGGCGAAGGCGGCCUUCUGGACUGACACUGACGCUGAGGUGCGAAAGCGUGGGUAGCAAACAGAAUUAGAUACCCCGGUAGUC